Molecule: transfer RNA, 72 nt
Filed under: Bos taurus (domestic cattle)
Lineage: Eukaryota; Metazoa; Chordata; Mammalia; Artiodactyla; Bovidae
Also listed under: 4 other names
Rfam family: tRNA
About the family: Transfer RNA (tRNA) molecules are approximately 80 nucleotides in length.
Source: Rfam by way of RNAcentral
UCCCUCAUAGCUCAGUCGGUAAAGAAUCUGCCUGCAACGUAGGAGGCUCAGGUUCAAUUCCUGGGUUGGGAA